UACGAAGGGGGCUAGCGUUGUCCGGAAUUAUUGGGCGUAAAGAGCUCGUAGGCGGUCUGUCACGUCGGCUGUGAAAUCCCGAGGCUCAACCUCGGGUCUGCAGUCGAUACGGGCAAACUAGAGUAUUGCAGGGGAGACUGGAAAUUCCUGGUGUAGCGGUGGAAUGCGUAGAGAUCCGGAAGAACACCGGUGGCGAAGGCGGCCUGCUGGGCAGAGCUGACACUGAGGCGCGGACAGCGUGGGGAGCAAACAGG
This 254-nucleotide ribosomal RNA is filed under the name uncultured bacterium. RNAcentral's name for it is "partial 16S ribosomal RNA". It matches the Rfam family "Bacterial small subunit ribosomal RNA", at positions 524 to 776 of the family's 1533-position model. The record is from RNAcentral.